UUGUAACAGACAAUUGCAACAUUUUUUAGCUGUGUUAUGUCUGCUAUUGGAGGAAACAGUGCUGGUCCUGGCAAUGCUGUGGUUAAUGUGUACAUCAAGCACGAGAAGAAGUUUGCUUUUGUGGAUAUGAGAAAUGUUGAAGAAGGAAGACGAUCCAUGUCCUGAACAAAAAUGAGCAUGCUCUUGAUAUGGCUGCAGCACUUCAUCACCAAUUAGGAGAUACUGACAAGCCAAACAAUGGCAAUGCCUCAGUGAAGUAGAGAACUGAUGUGUUACUUCUUGGUGAUCGCUUUGGAGAUCUAGGAAUGUCUGAUGGUUUGAACUAU
Magnolia sinica is the source of this 326-nucleotide long non-coding RNA. RefSeq lists it as uncharacterized. The record is from RefSeq and is a predicted model, not a curated record. The transcript is spliced from 3 exons. Lineage: Eukaryota; Viridiplantae; Streptophyta; Magnoliopsida; Magnoliales; Magnoliaceae.